Molecule: ribosomal RNA, 309 nt
Filed under: uncultured soil bacterium
Lineage: Bacteria
Description: bacterial SSU rRNA
Rfam family: Bacterial small subunit ribosomal RNA
Source: RNAcentral
AGAGCGAACGCUGGCGGCAGGCCUAACACAUGCAAGUCGAACGGACCCUUCGGGGUUAGUGGCGGACGGGUGAGUAACACGUGGGAACGUGCCUUUUGGUUCGGAAUAGCUCCUGGAAACGGGUGGUAAUGCCGAAUGUGCCCUUCGGGGGAAAGAUUUAUCGCCAUUAGAGCGGCCCGCGUCUGAUUAGCUAGUUGGUGAGGUAAGGGCUCACCAAGGCUACGAUCAGUAGCUGGUCUGAGAGGAUGACCAGCCACAUUGGGACUGAGACACGGCCCAAACUCCUACGGGAGGCAGCAGGUGGGGAAU